UACGUAGGUGGCAAGCGUUAUCCGGAUUUAUUGGGCGUAAAGGGAACGCAGGCGGUCUUUUAAGUCUGAUGUGAAAGCCUUCGGCUUAACCGGAGUAGUGCAUUGGAAACUGGGAGACUUGAGUGCAGAAGAGGAGAGUGGAACUCCAUGUGUAGCGGUGAAAUGCGUAGAUAUCAGGAGGAACACCGGUGGCGAAGGCGGCCUGCUGGACUGCAACUGACGUUGAGGCCCGAAAGCGUGGGGAGCAAACAGG
Molecule: ribosomal RNA, 253 nt
Filed under: uncultured bacterium
Lineage: Bacteria
Description: partial 16S ribosomal RNA
Rfam family: Bacterial small subunit ribosomal RNA
Source: RNAcentral